This 468-nucleotide ribosomal RNA is filed under the name uncultured bacterium. RNAcentral's name for it is "partial 16S ribosomal RNA". It matches the Rfam family "Bacterial small subunit ribosomal RNA", at positions 28 to 507 of the family's 1533-position model. The record is from RNAcentral.
GACGAACGCUGGCGGCGUGCUUAACACAUGCAAGUCGAACGGGAAGGCCGGGCUUUGGUGGGGUGGGGGGGGGGCGAACGGGUGAGUAACACGUGAGUAACGUAUACCUGACUGUGGGAUGAGUUAAGGAAAGUGGGGGUAAUACCGGAUAGGAGCUCCUGCUGCAUGGUGGGGGUUGGAUGGUUUCGGCGGUUGGGGAUGGACUCGCGGCUUAUCAGGUUGUUGGUGGGGUAGUGGCUUACCAUGGCCUGGACGGGUAGCCGGCCUGAGAGGGUGACAGGCCACAUUGGGACUGAGAUACGGCCCAGACUCCUACGGGAGGCAGCAGUGGGGAAUAGUGCACAAUGGGCGGAAGCCUGAUGCAGCAACGCCGCGUGCGGGAUGACGGCCUUCGGGUUGUAAACCGCUUCCGCCUGUGACGAAGCGUGAGUGACGGUAAUGGGUAAAGAAGCACCGGCUAACUACGUG